GGGUGGUGGUAGAAAGUCGAAACUCCCAAAAGGCACAUGCUUAAAACUAACGUCAUGCGUGUAUAACAUCGUCUCCCCUCAUUUUCAACCGGGGAGUCUAUAGGGGUUUACGAAGCUAAAAAACACCAUUCUCCGGCAUCAACAUGGUGAACGCAUUCCACUGACAUUUUAUCAUUUCAAUCCACCCGUAUAAACAAAAAACUUUAAUUCCCGAGUACGAGCUCAUUUUGUCCGGAGGGAGCUUUGCUAAAAGUAUUCGAAAGUACCCAGAAUAUACACAUCAGAAAAAGUGCA
Non-coding RNA from Cinara cedri, 294 nucleotides. NCBI's taxonomy places the organism in Eukaryota, Metazoa, Arthropoda, Insecta, Hemiptera, Aphididae. The record is from the annotation of a GenBank genome assembly.